This 800-nucleotide ribosomal RNA is filed under the name uncultured bacterium. Its description in RNAcentral is "bacterial SSU rRNA". It matches the Rfam family "Bacterial small subunit ribosomal RNA", at positions 8 to 803 of the family's 1533-position model. The record is from RNAcentral.
AGAGUUUGAUCCUGGCUCAGAUUGAACGCUGGCGGCAUGCCUUACACAUGCAAGUCGAACGGCAGCGCGGGGCAACCUGGCGGCGAGUGGCGAACGGGUGAGUAAUAUAUCGGAACGUGCCCUGGAGUGGGGGAUAACGCAGCGAAAGUUGCGCUAAUACCGCAUACGAUCUAAGGAUGAAAGCGGGGGAUUCGCAAGAACCUCGUGCUCCUGGAGCGGCCGAUAUCUGAUUAGCUAGUUGGUGGGGUAAAGGCCUACCAAGGCAUCGAUCAGUAGCUGGUCUGAGAGGACGACCAGCCACACUGGAACUGAGACACGGUCCAGACUCCUACGGGAGGCAGCAGUGGGGAAUUUUGGACAAUGGGCGCAAGCCUGAUCCAGCAAUGCCGCGUGAGUGAAGAAGGCCUUCGGGUUGUAAAGCUCUUUUGUCAGGGAAGAAACGGUAUGGGCUAAUAUCCCGUACUAAUGACGGUACCGUAAGAAUAAGCACCGGCUAACUACGUGCCAGCAGCCGCGGUAAUACGUAGGGUGCAAGCGUUAAUCGGAAUUACUGGGCGUAAAGCGUGCGCAGGCGGUAAUGUAAGACAGUUGUGAAAUCCCCGGGCUCAACCUGGGAACUGCAUCUGUGACUGCAUUGCUGGAGUACGGCAGAGGGGGAUGGAAUUCCGCGUGUAGCAGUGAAAUGCGUAGAUAUGCGGAGGAACACCGAUGGCGAAGGCAAUCCCCUGGGCCUGUACUGACGCUCAUGCACGAAAGCGUGGGGAGCAAACAGGAUUAGAUACCCUGGUAGUCCACGCCCU